UGGGGAAUAUUGGACAAUGGGCGAAAGCCUGAUCCAGCCAUUCCGCGUGAGUGAUGACGGCCCUAGGGUUGUAAAGCUCUUUCAACGGUGAAGAUAAUGACGGUAACCGUAGAAGAAGCCCCGGCUAACUUCGUGCCAGCAGCCGCGGUAAUACGAAGGGGGCUAGCGUUGUUCGGAAUUACUGGGCGUAAAGCGCACGUAGGCGGAUUGUUAAGUUAGGGGUGAAAUCCCAGGGCUCAACCCUGGAACUGCCUCUAAUACUGGCAAUCUCGAGUUCUAGAGAGGUGAGUGGAAUUCCGAGUGUAGAGGUGAAAUUCGUAGAUAUUCGGAGGAACACCAGUGGCGAAGGCGGCUCACUGGCUAGAUACUGACGCUGAGGUGCGAAAGUGUGGGGAGCAAACAGGAUUAGAUACCCCCGUAGUCC
RNAcentral lists this ribosomal RNA (424 nucleotides) under uncultured prokaryote. RNAcentral's name for it is "bacterial SSU rRNA". It matches the Rfam family "Bacterial small subunit ribosomal RNA", at positions 355 to 796 of the family's 1533-position model. The record is from RNAcentral.